GGAUCUUCUUGGCUGCGGUGGGUGGCCAUGCUGUGGGCUUCGUUCUUUUCAAAAGGCGAGGCGAAAGAAAGGAUGUCCUAUAAGAUCCUAGAAUGGGCCUUGAUUGUGUGGGCUUUCAUGUGUAAUGCCCACAAAACCCAAUAACAAAGCCCAUUGACCAACAAAAUGCAUACUUUUUCUUCCUAAUUUCAAUUCUUAUCAAAUAACCACUGUAAUUUCAAUUCUUCCUUUUUCUUUUUCUUUUUUGGAUUAUCCUUUUUGCUUUAGAUUUUUCUAAAUCUUAAAUAAAAAUCUAUGGAAUUUUAUUUAA
Molecule: long non-coding RNA, 310 nt
Filed under: Cucumis sativus (cucumber)
Lineage: Eukaryota; Viridiplantae; Streptophyta; Magnoliopsida; Cucurbitales; Cucurbitaceae
Description: long non-coding RNA (CSAT_LNC001216)
Source: RNAcentral